RNAcentral lists this ribosomal RNA (483 nucleotides) under uncultured bacterium. RNAcentral's name for it is "bacterial SSU rRNA". It matches the Rfam family "Bacterial small subunit ribosomal RNA", at positions 37 to 507 of the family's 1533-position model. The record is from RNAcentral.
UGGCGGCAGGCUUAACACAUGCAAGUCGAGCGGUAACAGAAAGAAAGCUUGCUUUCUUUGCUGACGAGCGGCGGACGGGUGAGUAAUGCCUGGGAAUAUGCCUUAGUGUGGGGGAUAACUAUUGGAAACGAUAGCUAAUACCGCAUAAUGUCUUCGGACCAAAGAGGGGGACCUUCGGGCCUCUCGCGCUAAGAUUAGCCCAGGUGGGAUUAGCUAGUUGGUGAGGUAAAGGCUCACCAAGGCAACGAUCCCUAGCUGGUCUGAGAGGAUGAUCAGCCACACUGGAACUGAGACACGGUCCAGACUCCUACGGGAGGCAGCAGUGGGGAAUAUUGCACAAUGGGGGGAACCCUGAUGCAGCCAUGCCGCGUGUAUGAAGAAGGCCUUCGGGUUGUAAAGUACUUUCAGUCGUGAGGAAGGCAUUGUAGUUAAUAGCUGCAGUGCUUGACGUUAGCGACAGAAGAAGCACCGGCUAACUCCGUG